Molecule: unclassified non-coding RNA, 255 nt
Filed under: fungal sp.
Lineage: Eukaryota; Fungi
Description: partial internal transcribed spacer region
Rfam family: Eukaryotic small subunit ribosomal RNA (bases 1-46)
Source: RNAcentral
AAGUCGUAACAAGGUAACCGUAGGUGAACCUGCGGUUGGAUCAUUAAAUUGAAAAAAAGAGAAAAGAGAAUUCCUUUUUCUUUUUAAUUAAACAAUUUAGAGAUAAUUGAAUGUUUUUUUUUGUGAAAGAGAGUUUUAUCCAUUUUAAAUUCUUUAAUUCUCUCUUUCACAAUUGAUUUUAAACUAUUUUAAUAUAUUUAUAUAUAAUUUGAAAAAGAAUUGAAACAACUUUUGACAAAGGAUCUCUUGGCUCUC